GCGUAGCUCAGUGGUAGAGCAGUUGACUGUUAAUCAAUUUGUCGUAGGUUCGACCCCUACCG
Molecule: transfer RNA, 62 nt
Filed under: uncultured Amylibacter sp.
Lineage: Bacteria; Pseudomonadati; Pseudomonadota; Alphaproteobacteria; Rhodobacterales; Paracoccaceae
Also listed under: 3 other names
Rfam family: tRNA
About the family: Transfer RNA (tRNA) molecules are approximately 80 nucleotides in length. Their secondary structure includes four short double-helical elements and three loops (D, anti-codon, and T loops).
Source: RNAcentral